Molecule: long non-coding RNA, 489 nt
Organism: Mercenaria mercenaria
Lineage: Eukaryota; Metazoa; Mollusca; Bivalvia; Venerida; Veneridae
Exons: 4
Source: RefSeq, a predicted model, not a curated record
AGGAAGGUUACAAUGGAUGAAUAAUACACAAUAUAUUGCUUGAUCAUAACAGCUAGAUUUAAUUGCGUUUAACAUUAGAAAAAUAAAGGCACGGAAAACUUUCAAUACUCAUUAUUAGGCUAUAAAUUUGAUAGAAGGGACAGGAAUAUUCAUGGUGGAGGACUAGCCUCCUUUGUGAGAUCAGACAUACCAUCAAGGAGAAGAAAAGAUCUUGAGUGUAAAAACAUUGAAAACCUAGUUUAUGAGGAACCCUUAACAAAAGUCCCUCAAGUUAAGACAACAACAUAUGGAGCCGAAAGCAAAACAGAGAAGAAUGGUUUUAGCUUUAAUGCUUGUGAUAUGGGUGAUAACUGGAACGAAGUAUGGUAAUUAUCAUUUUUGUUUUAAAUAUUGCGAUCUUGUAGAUUUCAGCUAAUGCUUAUACAUAUUUUUAAGCAAAACUUAAAAUAACCUACUGUAAAAUGAUUGAACGUUAAAGAUAUUGGGCAG